RNAcentral lists this ribosomal RNA (132 nucleotides) under Lactobacillus gasseri. Its description in RNAcentral is "partial 16S ribosomal RNA". It matches the Rfam family "Bacterial small subunit ribosomal RNA", at positions 382 to 507 of the family's 1533-position model. The record is from RNAcentral. Lineage: Bacteria; Bacillati; Bacillota; Bacilli; Lactobacillales; Lactobacillaceae.
UCUGAUGGAGCACGCCGCGUGAGUGAAGAAGGGUUUCGGCUCGUAAAGCUCUGUUGGUAGUGAAGAAAGAUAGAGGUAGUAACUGGCCUUUAUUUGACGGUAAUUACUUAGAAAGUCACGGCUAACUACGUG